UACGGGAGGCAGCAGUGGGGAAUAUUGCACAAUGGGCGCAAGCCUGAUGCAGCCAUGCCGCGUGUAUGAAAAAGGCCUUCGGGUUGUAAAGUACUUUCAGUCGUGAGGAAGGUGUUAAGGUUAAUAACCUUAGCAAUUGACGUUAGCGACAGAAGAAGCACCGGCUAACUCCGUGCCAGCAGCCGCGGUAAUACGGAGGGUGCGAGCGUUAAUCGGAAUUACUGGGCGUAAAGGGCACGCAGGCGGUUAAUUAAGUUGGAUGUGAAAUCCCCGGGCUUAACCUGGGAAUGGCAUUCAAGACUGGUUAGCUAGAGUCUUGUAGAGGGGGUUAGAAUUCCAUGUGUAGCGGUGAAAUGCGUAGAGAUGUGGAGGAAUACCGGUGGCGAAGGCGGCCCCUGGACAAAGACUGACGCUCAUGUGCGAAAGCGUGGGGAGCGAAAC
This 441-nucleotide ribosomal RNA is filed under the name uncultured bacterium. RNAcentral describes it as "bacterial SSU rRNA". It matches the Rfam family "Bacterial small subunit ribosomal RNA", at positions 340 to 774 of the family's 1533-position model. The record is from RNAcentral.